RNAcentral lists this signal recognition particle RNA (117 nucleotides) under Pan paniscus (pygmy chimpanzee). RNAcentral's name for it is "Metazoan signal recognition particle RNA". It matches the Rfam family "Metazoan signal recognition particle RNA". Rfam says of the family: The signal recognition particle (SRP) is a universally conserved ribonucleoprotein. It is involved in the co-translational targeting of proteins to membranes. The record is from Rfam by way of RNAcentral. RNAcentral also lists the same sequence under 1 other name. Lineage: Eukaryota; Metazoa; Chordata; Mammalia; Primates; Hominidae.
GCCAGGUAUGGUGGCGCAUGCCUGUAAUCCCAGCACUUUGGGAGGCUGAGGCGGGUGGAUCACUUGAGGUCAGGAGUUCAAGACCAGCCUGGCCAAUAUGGUGAAACCCCGUCUCUA